Molecule: ribosomal RNA, 486 nt
Filed under: uncultured bacterium
Lineage: Bacteria
Description: partial 16S ribosomal RNA
Rfam family: Bacterial small subunit ribosomal RNA
Source: RNAcentral
AUUGAACGCUGGCGGCAUGCCUUACACAUGCAAGUCGAACGGCAGCACGGGUGCUUGCACCUGGUGGCGAGUGGCGAACGGGUGAGUAAUACAUCGGAACAUGUCCUGUAGUGGGGGAUAGCCCGGCGAAAGCCGGAUUAAUGCCGCAUACGAUCCACGGAUGAAAGCGGGGGACCUUCGGGCCUCGCGCUAUAGGGUUGGCCGAUGGCUGAUUAGCUAGUUGGUGGGGUAAAGGCCUACCAAGGCGACGAUCAGUAGCUGGUCUGAGAGGACGACCAGCCACACUGGGACUGAGACACGGCCCAGACUCCUACGGGAGGCAGCAGUGGGGAAUUUUGGACAAUGGGCGAAAGCCUGAUCCAGCAAUGCCGCGUGUGUGAAGAAGGCCUUCGGGCUGUAAAGCACUUUUGUCCGGAAAGAAAUCCUUGACUCUAAUACAGUCGGGGGAUGACGGUACCGGAAGAAUAAGCACCGGCUAACUACGUG